Molecule: long non-coding RNA, 1443 nt
Filed under: Sus scrofa (pig)
Lineage: Eukaryota; Metazoa; Chordata; Mammalia; Artiodactyla; Suidae
Description: lncRNA (ENSSSCG00040039444.1)
Source: RNAcentral
AGUCUCCAUAAUCCUGUGAGCCGAUUCCUCAAAUACCUGCAUAAAUAUGUAUAUAAUGCACAUGUACCCCAUACACGCACACACGCAAUCUCUCUUGUUUCUGUUUCUCUGGAGAACCUCAUUAAUACGAACCCCAUUCGCAUGGGGAGAAACUGACACCUAGAAAAGGAGUCCCCAGACCCAGGUGUCCUGACCCGCUUGCCAGUUGGACUUGCUUCCCUGGCCGUUUAUUCCAGAGUGAACUCAGAACAACAGGUGUUCUGGCCUCUGGUCCAAUACUUAUGAAGGGGUCCCAAGUGAGCCAAAUCUUGGCACCUGAAUUUCCUUCUCUUCAACAUGAAGGUGAAAAUCUUUCCUGCCUCAGAGAUGUAGCCAGGACUGGUCACAGGGCUCAUCCCUGAAAUGACCUUCGGUCACACGUAGGAACUCAAAGAAAUGUUAGCUUUCAUUGGCGUUCCCAUAGUGGCUCAGCAGUAAUGAACCUGAUUAGUAUCCAUGAAGAUAUGGGUUCAAUCCCCAGCCUCGCUCAGUGAGCUAAGGAUCCGGCAUUGCCAUGAGCUGUGGUGUUACAGAUGCGGCUCGGAUCCCGCGUGGCUGUGGCUGUGGUGUAGGCCAGCAGCUGCAUCUCCCAAUUUGACCCCCAGCCUGGAAACUUUCAUAUGCCAUGGGUGUGGCCCUAAAAAGAAAAAAACAAGAACUUCAAAAAUACUACCAGGAACCAUGUUUUUAAUCUGUCGGACCUUCUAACCCACCAGUACAACUAGUCUCACUGCCCCCCACCCCCCCCCCCACCAAAUCCAUACAAUUUCCUGAAAGUUUCAAGGCUGGCGAUUCCCUUGCUCAGAGCAUCAAUGGUCAGCCAUGAAAACCCAUGGAGCAUCAGUGGUCAUCCCAACUCUUCCACCCACGUCAGUGGCCUGGAACCUGAUCAUAUGAUUUGCUAGCAAGGACCAUACAGUAGGAGAGGCUGGGCAAAAGCAUCUGUUUAAUCCCUGCUCUCCAAGGGGUUGUUCUUCUACUCCAGCCCCUUCAGUCCAAGAAUAAAUCACAAGCUGCCAUAAUCAGCUUCCGUUCAUCAAGAGACUCAGCCGGCAACAGGUGCCAGCUCCAAGUCCAGCCUCUCUGCUGUCCUGCAGUCUCUCACAUCUGGGAAUCAGCAGGUCAGUUUGAAUUGUUCUUGAGGUUGUUCCUGGUAGCAAACCACCUCCCUCCCACCCUCGGAGUCCAAACGUCUUUAGAUUUGCCUCCAUUAAAGUCCCAAAGGGGGGUCGUGGCUCAGCAAUAACGAACCCGACUAAUACCCAUGAGGAUGGCAGGUUCAAUCCCUGGCCUCGCUCAGUGGGUUAAGCAUCUGGCGUUGCUGUGGCUGUGGUAUAGGCUGGCAGCUGAAGCUCAGAUUCAACCCCUAGCCUGGGAAUUUCCAUAUGCUGCAGGUACAGCCCU